CGCGACACUAAGAUUUAUAUGUAUGUAGUAGGUGGAGGUGAUGGAAAAAAAGAAGCCAAGGAGGACCUGUAUCAGGGAUUUGCUGAUGAUUUGCAUGUACACCUGCUUAUGAAUCGAGAGGAAGCGUAACAGGGAGUGAUGUUUCCAAUGACUCUGCUCCGGAUUUUCUUGGAUCGAGUCAGAUAUGCAGUUUCGCAAAUCGAAGCGGCAUUCGACGGAAGAACUUCGUCCUCUCAGGAUGAAAAAGGACACAAAAUUAAUCAAUUAAUCGGUCUUUUCAAUUUUCUCCGGUGAAACUGUCGCUUAAGAGAGAGAGAGAGAGAGAGAGAGAAAGACUUACCAGUGACAUUGAGGACAUCCAAAAUGAUAAGAAUGAUAAUAAUCAAAAUGCUCCUUCUCAGAUAUACUAUCCCGAUUCCUUUGGAAUAUGAAGGGAACUACAUCAAUUUUAGGUAUUUAAUAUUUAAUUAAUGACAUACAUUAAUUUUAGAAGAAAAAUAAGAAAUUGGAGACUUUUUUUUC
Molecule: long non-coding RNA, 522 nt
Filed under: Brassica napus (rape)
Lineage: Eukaryota; Viridiplantae; Streptophyta; Magnoliopsida; Brassicales; Brassicaceae
Description: long non-coding RNA (BNAP_LNC017690)
Source: RNAcentral